UGGCUCAGAUUGAACGCUGGCGGCAGGCCUAACACAUGCAAGUCGAACGGUAACAGGAAGAAGCUUGCUUCUUUGCUGACGAGUGGCGGACGGGUGAGUAAUGUCUGGGAAACUGCCUGAUGGAGGGGGAUAACUACUGGAAACGGUAGCUAAUACCGCAUAACGUCGCAAGACCAAAGAGGGGGACCUUCGGGCCUCUUGCCAUCGGAUGUGCCCAGAUGGGAUUAGCUUGUUGGUGGGGUAACGGCUCACCAAGGCGACGAUCCCUAGCUGGUCUGAGAGGAUGACCAGCCACACUGGAACUGAGACACGGUCCAGACUCCUACGGGAGGCACAGUGGGGAAUAUUGCACAAUGGGCGCAAGCCUGAUGCAGCCAUGCCGCGUGUAUGAAGAAGCCUUCGGGUUGUAAAGUACUUUCAGCGGGGAGGAAGGGAGUAAAGUUAAUACCUUUGCUCAUUGACGUUACCCGCAGAAGAAGCACCGGCUAACUCCGUGCCAGCAGCCGCGGUAAUACGGAGGGUCAAGCGUUAAUCGGAAUUACUGGGCGUAAAGCGCACCAGGCGGUUUGUUAAGUCAGAUGUGAAAUCCCCGGGCUCAACCUGGGAACUGCAUCUGAUACUGCAAGCUUGAGUCUCGUAGAGGGGGGUAGAAUUCCAGGUGUAGCGGUGAAAUGCGUAGAGAUCUGGAGGAAUACCCGGUGGCGAAGGCGGCCCCCUGGACGAAGACU
This 728-nucleotide ribosomal RNA is filed under the name Escherichia sp. Its description in RNAcentral is "bacterial SSU rRNA". It matches the Rfam family "Bacterial small subunit ribosomal RNA", at positions 20 to 741 of the family's 1533-position model. Lineage: Bacteria; Pseudomonadati; Pseudomonadota; Gammaproteobacteria; Enterobacterales; Enterobacteriaceae. The record is from RNAcentral.